AGUGGAAAGAGCAAAAGACUGAGAAGACAUCUCCUUUCUUCAACUGACCUCAUCUCUUGCUUGGACCACUGAAGCAGAAGCAGGCUUCUAGCAGCCUCUCUGUUGCCACCAUCUUUCCUUUCCAUCCAUUCUCCAAAAAGCAACCUAAGCGAUCAUCCCAAGGCCCACAAGGCCCUGUAUGAGCAACUUUUGCCUGCCUCUUCAACUACAAAGAGCCAAGUCUUUCCUGGUAUAGAGUGGAGUGUGCAUGCUUUAUAUCUUCCAAAAAGAAGCAAGA
RNAcentral lists this long non-coding RNA (277 nucleotides) under Homo sapiens (human). Its description in RNAcentral is "HSALNT0092971". The record is from RNAcentral. Lineage: Eukaryota; Metazoa; Chordata; Mammalia; Primates; Hominidae.